CUCAGAAUGAACGUUUGCGGCGUGGAUUAUGCAUGCAAGUCGUGCGAGAAUCUUCCUUCGGGAAGUGGACAGCGGCGAAAGGGAGAGUAAUACGUAGAAAUCUACCUUCAAGCCCGGGAUAGCGUCGGGAAACUGGCGGUAAUACCGGAUAAUAUCUCCGGAUCAAAGGUGUGAUUCCGCUUGAAGAUGAGUCUACGUCCUAUUAGCUAGUUGGCGGGGUAAUGGCCCACCAAGGCAACGAUGGGUAGCGGGUGUGAGAGCAUGAUCCGCCUCACUGGGACUGAGACACUGCCCAGACACCUACGGGUGGCUGCAGUCGAGAAUCUUUGUCAAUGGACGAAAGUCUGAACAAGCGACGCCGCGUGCGGGAUGAAGGCCUUCGGGUUGUAAACCGCUGUCGUAGGGGAACAAAUGUAUGGGGGUUCUCUCCUUUACUUGAGUGAUCCUAGAAGGAAGGACGGGCUAAGUUCGUGCCAGCAGCCGCGGUAAGACGAACCGUCCAAACGUUAUUCGGUAUCACUGGGCUUAAAGAGUUCGUAGGCGGCCAUGCAGGUCAGGUGUGAAAUCCCACAGCUCAACUGUGGAACUGCGCUUGAAACCGCAUGGCUUGAGGGAGAUAGAGGUGAGCGGAACCAGAUGGUGGAGCGGUGAAAUGCGUUGAUAUCAUCUGGAACACCGGUGGCGAAAGCGGCUCACUGGAUCUCUUCUGACGCUCAGGAACGAAAGCUAGGGUAGCGAACGGGAUUAGAUACCCCGGUAGUCCUAGCCGUAAACGAUGAGCACUAGUCCGAGGGGACUCUCACAUCCUCUCGGACGUAGCGAAAGUAUUAAGUGCUCCGCCUGGGGAGUAUGG
This 853-nucleotide ribosomal RNA is filed under the name uncultured organism. RNAcentral's name for it is "bacterial SSU rRNA". It matches the Rfam family "Bacterial small subunit ribosomal RNA", at positions 23 to 885 of the family's 1533-position model. The record is from RNAcentral.